This is a small nucleolar RNA of Bombina bombina (fire-bellied toad), 133 nucleotides long. RefSeq annotates it as small nucleolar RNA SNORA13. NCBI's taxonomy places the organism in Eukaryota, Metazoa, Chordata, Amphibia, Anura, Bombinatoridae. The transcript has a single exon. The record is from RefSeq and is a predicted model, not a curated record.
UGCCUUUGUGUUACCCUUUCAAUUUUUAAGUAGUGAGAGUGGUGUCAAAAAAGGCAAACAGAAAUUCCUUAACGCUAUGCAAUACACCUUUGGAAUACAUUUACAAUGGUGUUUGACUGCUUUGGAAACAUUU